UGGUGGAGUGAUUUGUCUGGUUAAUUCCGAUAACGAACGAGACCUUAACCUGCUAAAUAGUCACGCGAAUUUGCGUUCGUGGCCGACUUCUUAGAGGGACUAUUGACGUUUAGUCAAUGGAAGUUUGAGGCAAUAACA
This 138-nucleotide ribosomal RNA is filed under the name uncultured eukaryote. RNAcentral's name for it is "partial 18S ribosomal RNA". It matches the Rfam family "Eukaryotic small subunit ribosomal RNA", at positions 1299 to 1458 of the family's 1831-position model. The record is from RNAcentral.